UAGUGCGGUAGAGGAGCGGAAUGAAUGAGUCGCGUUUGUUGGGGUGAUGCCAAUGAGCAAACGUAAAAGGUCUUAUCCGCCGAAGUGAGCUGAUACAUCAACAUCUCUCGCUGGGGUUGUACUCGAAUAGGGACAACACUGCCAUAGUCUAUUAUUUGUAUAACUAUGGAGCGCUACUGUAGGC
This 184-nucleotide non-coding RNA is filed under the name Vibrio sp. RNAcentral describes it as "Lysine sequence". It matches the Rfam family "Lysine riboswitch aptamer". Rfam says of the family: Riboswitches are metabolite binding domains within certain messenger RNAs that serve as precision sensors for their corresponding targets. Allosteric rearrangement of mRNA structure is mediated by ligand binding, and this results in modulation of gene expression. This family includes riboswitches that sense lysine in a number of genes involved in lysine metabolism, including lysC. Lineage: Bacteria; Pseudomonadati; Pseudomonadota; Gammaproteobacteria; Vibrionales; Vibrionaceae. The record is from RNAcentral.